Molecule: long non-coding RNA, 848 nt
Filed under: Coffea arabica (coffee)
Lineage: Eukaryota; Viridiplantae; Streptophyta; Magnoliopsida; Gentianales; Rubiaceae
Description: long non-coding RNA (CARA_LNC006961)
Source: RNAcentral
GGGGGGGGAUGUGGGUCACAAGGGGUGGACAGCUAGGCAGGGCUGGCAAAAAAGUGGAGGUGGUGCUCUUUCUUCUUUUUUUUUUCCUAUUUUUUCUUUUUUCGGGGAGAUUCACCGCAUGAGAUUGGAGCAGGGAAGAAAACUCAGGUCUAGAGGGCAGUUGUGGGUAAUGCUUAUUUAGGGAGAGUGGUGCAGUACCAUUUAUCCAAGGCAAAGACAUCUUUUAAAGUUGGAUAUAAUGGAAUUAGCGAUCAAACUGUAUUACAUUGGUUGAAUGAGAGAGGGGGAAAUUCAUGCACUAGAAACUUUUAAGGACACGGUGUUAUAAUGAAGUAUAACCGAAAGAAAGAGAUUGGGGGGGGGGGGGGUGAUUUAGAAUGUAAUUUGAAACUGAAAAAAAAAAGAUAACACAGUUGAGAGUGAAAAGAAAAGAGAAACAAAGACAGAAAAAAUACAAUAGAGGCAUCUGCAGGAUAAAACAAUUUGCUUCUUCCUCUAAUAUGCACAAUGAACCUACAACAUCUUACAUAAUUAGAAACUAUAGGCUGGUCUUACUUUCAUAGUUCCCAAUUUUUUUAAUUUUAUAAAUCCAAGUCAAACAUGACUCCAGCAACACUUCAUUUUCGUAAGAGGUACACAGAUGCGUUUAUCCAAAUCAUUGGAUUUUGGUGGGGGCUUUUUUUUCGUGUGUGUUUUUUAGGGGGGGGGGGAAUAGAAGUCCAUGUUAUGCUUACCAUCUCUAAGAUGUGCCUGCUGUUCCAUAGCCUGUAAACGCAGCUUGAGUUCCUUGUUCUCAGCAGUUAACCCCGUUGUGUCUCUCUGCAGAACAAAAAAUUACAUCAACACUA